GGAAUUUAGAGAGACAAGGGACACAAGAAAUAGACAAGACAGUAUCCUGAUCAAGUCUCGUUUAUUGAGGGCGUUGGUACAGCUUAUAUAGGAUGGUAAGAAAGAGGAAGUGCGGCAGAGCAGGCGGGGAGGAGAAUAAUGAGAGACGUCACCAGGCGCAUGCUCGAUAGACUUAGUCUUUCCCAGGCGCGGGAAGUCAUCUACCCGCGCGCGGAAAAAGUUGGGGCGCAUGGGAAAAGUUGAUGAAGAACCAGGAAGUGCGCCAUCUUGUCUCUGCAAUGCGGAGCUUAAGCAACAGAGGCCGCGGCAAUUUCUGGGCCUCACGGCUCCCGACAGCUAACAUAUUUGGAAGACUCCCCAUCCAAUUUCUUUAAGAAAAAAAUGCUUGGAAAUCAGGGCAGCAUUCUUUGACAACACUGACUUUAACAACAUGAUGGGCCAUUUUUUCCCGCACCACAAAUUGAAGAAGUUUUCAAAAUUGGGCAAGGCUGAUCUGAUUUACUCACCCAAUUGCAUACAAGAAGCUGUAAUUGAGAGUGCAGACUUAGCUGGGCCUCCCGGGAAAAGCCCUUAUUUUUCUCUUUCCUCAUGGAGUCUUAAAGAACAAGAAAGAACAUUCUUGACGGUGUCUGUGACUUGAUCUCUCCAAGAGGAAGAUGCACAGGAGGUCUAAACGCUUACCAUCUAAAGAGUGGUGCUUGGACCCACAGCAUCCUCAUCCCCUGAAAGCUCCUUAGAAAUGUGGAGUCUCCAUCCCCACCCUAGGUCUACUGAAUUAGUCUUCAUUUUAAUAAGAUCCUUGGGUGAUUCACAUGCACUAUCUAUCGUGUGUAAAUUCUAUCAGGUGUAAAUAACUGUUUAGUUACAUACAGGAAAUUGCUCUCCUGUAACAUGACAGAUGCAGAUGUAUCUUUGAAAUACCUAAAAAUGUGCCCUUCUGAGGAAAACAUUAGCUCUGUUCUGCAGAAAAUUGUGACUAGAGAUAUGAAGUGAUUUGUUCAAAAUUACAUUGUUAAUAAUUCCAAGACCACAGAUAGAAAAUAAACAUCCUGCCGCAAUAUAGGCU
RNAcentral lists this long non-coding RNA (1066 nucleotides) under Rhinopithecus bieti (black snub-nosed monkey). RNAcentral describes it as "lncRNA (ENSRBIG00000045143.1)". Lineage: Eukaryota; Metazoa; Chordata; Mammalia; Primates; Cercopithecidae. The record is from RNAcentral.